UGUGGAGAAGAAGGUU
Molecule: small RNA, 16 nt
Filed under: Arabidopsis thaliana (thale cress)
Lineage: Eukaryota; Viridiplantae; Streptophyta; Magnoliopsida; Brassicales; Brassicaceae
Description: ATSL261510
Source: RNAcentral